Molecule: ribosomal RNA, 688 nt
Filed under: uncultured bacterium
Lineage: Bacteria
Description: bacterial SSU rRNA
Rfam family: Bacterial small subunit ribosomal RNA
Source: RNAcentral
UUGUUGGAGUCUUAGGCUUCAGUGACGCAGAGAAAUCAUUAAGCAUACCGCCUGGGGAGUACGGUCGCAAGAUUAAAACUCAAAGGAAUUGACGGGGACCCGCACAAGCGGUGGAGCAUGUUGUUUAAUUCGAAGCAACGCGAAGAACCUUACCCACACUUAACUAUCCUCUUGGGGCUUUCAGAGAUGAUCGCUUUCGGUUCGGCCGGGGAGUGAAUAGGUGCUGCAUGGCUGUCGUCAGCUCGUGUCGUGAGAUGUUAGGUUAAGUCCUGCAACGAGCGCAACCCUUAUCGUAUGUUGCCAUCAGGUUAUGCUGGGAACUCAUGCGAGACUGCCGGUGACAAGCCGGAGGAAGGCGGGGACGACGUCAAGUCAUCAUGGCCCUUACGUGUGGGGCUACAAACGUGCUACAAUGGUAACGACAAUGGGCAGCCACUCCGCGAGGAGGCGCUAAUCUCCAAACGUUAUCUCAGUUCGGAUUGUUCUCUGCAACUCGAGAGCAUGAAGUUGGAAUCGCUAGUAAUCGUGCAUCAGCAUGUCACGGUGAAUACGUUCCCGGGUCUUGUACACACCGCCCGUCACGUCAUGGGAGUUGGUUCUACCCGAAGGCCGUGUGCUAACCAGUUUACUGGAGGCAGCGGACCACGGUAGGGUCAGCGACUGGGACGAAGUCGUAACAAGGUAGCCG